CACGAACCGUACGAACGUUAUUCGGAAUCACUGGGCUUAAAGAGUACGUAGGCGGCUUAGAAAGUUGGGUGUGAAAGCCCUCGGCCCAACCGAGGAACUGCGCUCAAAACUACUAAGCUUGAGGGAGACAGAGGUGAGCGGAACUGAUGGUGGAGCGGUGAAAUGCGUUGAUAUCAUCAGGAACACCGGUGGCGAAGGCGGCUCACUGGGUCUCUUCUGACGCUGAGGUACGAAAGCUAGGGGAGCGAAC
RNAcentral lists this ribosomal RNA (250 nucleotides) under uncultured bacterium. RNAcentral describes it as "partial 16S ribosomal RNA". It matches the Rfam family "Bacterial small subunit ribosomal RNA", at positions 524 to 773 of the family's 1533-position model. The record is from RNAcentral.